GCAGUCGAGCGCACCCUUCGGGGCGAGCGGCGGACGGGUUAGUAACGCGUGGGAAUAUACCCUUCACUACGGAAUAGCCUCGGGAAACUGAGAGUAAUACCGUAUACGCCCUUCGGGGGAAAGAUUUAUCGGUGAUGGAUUAGCCCGCGUCUGAUUAGAUAGUUGGUGGGGUAAUGGCCUACCAAGUCUACGAUCAGUAGCUGGUUUUAGAGGAUGAUCAGCAACACUGGGACUGAGACACGGCCCAGACUCCUACGGGAGGCAGCAGUGGGGAAUCUUAGACAAUGGGCGAAAGCCUGAUCUAGCCAUGCCGCGUGUGUGAUGAAGGCCUUAGGGUCGUAAAGCACUUUCGCCAGGGAUGAUAAUGACAGUACCUGGUAAAGAAACCCCGGCUAACUCCGUGCCAGCAGCCGCGGUAAUACGGAGGGGGUUAGCGUUGUUCGGAAUUACUGGGCGUAAAGCGCACGUAGGCGGAUCAGAAAGUUGGGGGUGAAAUCCCAGGGCUCAACCCUGGAACUGCCCUCAAAACUCCUGGUCUUGAGUUCGAGAGAGGUGAGUGGAAUUCCAAGUGUAGAGGUGAAAUUCGUAGAUAUUUGGAGGAACACCAGUGGCGAAGGCGGCUCACUGGCUCGAUACUGACGCUGAGGUGCGAAAGUGUGGGGAGCAAACAGGAUUAGAUACCCUGGUAGUCCACACCGUAAACGAUGAAUGCCAGACGUCGGGCAGUAUACUGUUCGGUGUCACACCUAACGGAUUAAGCAUUCCGCCUGGGGAGUACGGUCGCAAGAUUAAAACUCAAAGGAAUUGACGGGGG
Molecule: ribosomal RNA, 814 nt
Filed under: Pseudoseohaeicola caenipelagi
Lineage: Bacteria; Pseudomonadati; Pseudomonadota; Alphaproteobacteria; Rhodobacterales; Paracoccaceae
Description: bacterial SSU rRNA
Rfam family: Bacterial small subunit ribosomal RNA
Source: RNAcentral